AAAAAAAAACAGCAGAAACAGAAACAGUCUGUCUCUUUGAAGCUUCACUACUUCCAAGCCGGAUGAAAACGGGAUGGUUCCAGAGCGUAGCACGUUUUUUAGUUCUGCAACAAAAAUUCCUGCCGAAGACGCCACCAGAGACGCUUCAAGAUUCCGUUUUAUGUUGUCCUGAAGGGUCAAUGAAGAUGGUCAGUCCGGAGGCUACUGGUUUCGAGAAAAUAAAGGAAAAAACACUCUCAUAUUUAGCAAGAUGAAAUGCGCCUGAAUCAAAAUAUCUGCCGUUUUCGGACAAUAAAUUAGAGAAAAUAAAAAAAGAGCAAGUUGCAGAAGGCAAUAAAA
Molecule: long non-coding RNA, 339 nt
Organism: Uranotaenia lowii
Lineage: Eukaryota; Metazoa; Arthropoda; Insecta; Diptera; Culicidae
Exons: 2
Source: RefSeq, a predicted model, not a curated record